RNAcentral lists this ribosomal RNA (549 nucleotides) under uncultured bacterium. RNAcentral's name for it is "bacterial SSU rRNA". It matches the Rfam family "Bacterial small subunit ribosomal RNA", at positions 33 to 576 of the family's 1533-position model. The record is from RNAcentral.
ACGCUGGCGGCAUGCCUAACACAUGCAAGCUCGAACGGUAACAGGUCUCCGGUAUGCUGACGAGUGGCGGACGGGUGAGUAAUGCGUAGGAAUCUGUCUUUUAGUGGGGGACAACCCAGGGAAACUUGGGCUAAUACCGCAUGAGCCCUGAGGGGGAAAGCGGGGGAUCUUCGGACCUCGCGCUAAGAGAGGAGCCUACGUCCGAUUAGCUAGUUGGCGGGGGUAAAGGCCCACCAAGGCGACGAUCGGUAGCUGGUCUGAGAGGACGACCAGCCACACUGGGACUGAGACACGGCCCAGACUCCUACGGGAGGCAGCAGUGGGGAAUUUUUCGCAAUGGGGUCAACCCUGACGAAGCAAUGCCGCGUGGAUGAAGAAGGCCUUCGGGUUGUAAAGUCCUUUCGUGGAGGACGAAAAGGUGGGUUCUAAUACAAUCUGCUAUUGACGUGAAUCCAAGAAGAAGCACCGGCUAACUCCGUGCCAGCAGCCGCGGUAAUACGGGGGGUGCAAGCGUUAAUCGGAAUCACUGGGCGUAAAGGGUGCGUAGCG